This 324-nucleotide ribosomal RNA is filed under the name uncultured eukaryote. RNAcentral's name for it is "partial 18S ribosomal RNA". It matches the Rfam family "Eukaryotic small subunit ribosomal RNA", at positions 1470 to 1796 of the family's 1831-position model. The record is from RNAcentral.
CCCUUAGAUGUUCUGGGCUGCACGCGCGCUACACUGAAGCUAUCAACACGUUUUCCCUCCCUGAGAAGGGCGGGUAACCUUUUGAAUCAGCUUCGUGGUAGGGAUCGGGGCUUGCAAUUGUUCCCCGUGAACCAGGAAUUCCUAGUAGACGCGAGUCAUAAGCUCGCAUCGAUUAAGUCCCUGCCCUUUGUACACACCGCCCGUCGCUACUACCGAUUGAACGUUUUAGUGAGGCAUUUGGACCGACGCAUCUCAUUUUAACCGCUGGUUUGUGUUGGAAAGACUUCCAAACUUGAGCGUUUAGAGGAAGUAAAAGUCGUAACA